This 1176-nucleotide ribosomal RNA is filed under the name Triticum aestivum (bread wheat). RNAcentral's name for it is "partial small subunit ribosomal RNA". The record is from RNAcentral. Lineage: Eukaryota; Viridiplantae; Streptophyta; Magnoliopsida; Poales; Poaceae.
AUGGAGACGGAGAUGGAGGUGGAGGCGGAGUGGAUCGGCGGCCUGGACGAGAUGGAGGCGGGGACCGCGGGAAAGGGGGUCGUCCUCCCAGAGAACGCCGCCGACCUCGACGAGAUGGAGGCGGAGGGGACCGCCGACGGCGGAGCGACAGGGACGACGGAGGAGAAGGAGUGCUGGGAGUACGAGGCAGAGUGGGAGUACGAGCAGGCCCUCACCUUCCGCGAUAGCUGGAUUUCCAUCUGGGGCGACCAAUUCGGCUCCUUCGAGGAAACCACCGCCAUUCAGCCCAUGCGCUACACGGACGCAGAGGCUCCAGGGGGCUACGCCCAGCCCCUCGAUUCCCUGCAGAUCUACUCCAUCAAAGUCGCGGACAUCAGAGGGGGCCUGCGUUGGCCCAUCCAUGUCUACGGCAUGAUCGCCGCGCGCGACGUCGUCGACAGAAACCGCAACAUCGUCUUCCACCGCUCCAGGGAUCACUGCCAAACCCUCACCAAAGAGGAUUCGUGCUUGGUAAUGACAGGUCCUACCCGUCCCAUUGUUAUGUUGGGUGCCAUGAACUUUGAGAUUACGCUAAAAGUGAAGGAAGGCAGCACGGAGUCUAGGGAUAAAGUUUUAAGCUUCCUGGCUGUUCCUCAUGACACUGUUAACUGUUUGGAGCUCUCCUGCGCAACAGAUAGGAAAUACAUCAGCAAGCUCAGCACACUGGAGUUUACAAUGAGUCAAAUUGCUCGCUCCGUGGAGGCGACAAUCAGCGUGCAAAUGGUCGAUGGGUCGUCAUGGCCACACGGUGUCCGAGGUGAAUUUUCCGCCUGUACCACCAGUAUGGCCGACAGGAAAGUAGUUCUACUCGAUUCUGGAAGCGAGAAGGAAGUGGAGGUUGGUGCAGAUGGCAUGAUCCAGCUAUCUAGGUGUGUCGCUUCCGUCGAAUUCACCGGAGAGCUGAAGGUUUGUGUGGUUGCAUGGUGGCAAGGCGAGGUGAAACCCAAGAAAGCUUGGAAGGUUUUCAAGCCCAAGAAAGCUGGUAGGAACUAUGGCACCUUCAAUCUUGGCCGCGCGUGUAAGGUGAAAGUCACCGUUGCCUGGUCGCUUCUUUCCUACUAUCCGGUUAACCGCCCCAAUAGUCCUUACGGUUCACUGGCUUUACUCAGGGAGGCAGAGGGACAGAGUACUGUCUAG